UUCAAGUCCAUGCCAUGCCUUUCCACAGCUUUCUUGAACUUCUCCUCCUCCUCCUCUCUCUUAGAAGGGUAGCUUUGAACAUCUCUCUCUCUCUCUCUCUCUCUCUCUCUCUCUCUCCAAAGAAGGUCAAGAAAGCUGUGGGAAGAAAUGACAUAACAAGGA
This 162-nucleotide microRNA precursor is filed under the name Sorghum bicolor (sorghum). RNAcentral describes it as "miR396c stem-loop (sbi-MIR396c)". Its record names the gene sbi-MIR396c. The record is from miRBase by way of RNAcentral. Lineage: Eukaryota; Viridiplantae; Streptophyta; Magnoliopsida; Poales; Poaceae.